Molecule: ribosomal RNA, 521 nt
Filed under: Stenotrophomonas rhizophila
Lineage: Bacteria; Pseudomonadati; Pseudomonadota; Gammaproteobacteria; Lysobacterales; Lysobacteraceae
Description: bacterial SSU rRNA
Rfam family: Bacterial small subunit ribosomal RNA
Source: RNAcentral
ACCAAGGCGACGAUCCGUAGCUGGUCUGAGAGGAUGAUCAGCCACACUGGAACUGAGACACGGUCCAGACUCCUACGGGAGGCAGCAGUGGGGAAUAUUGGACAAUGGGCGCAAGCCUGAUCCAGCCAUACCGCGUGGGUGAAGAAGGCCUUCGGGUUGUAAAGCCCUUUUGUUGGGAAAGAAAAGCAGUCGAUUAAUACUCGGUUGUUCUGACGGUACCCAAAGAAUAAGCACCGGCUAACUUCGUGCCAGCAGCCGCGGUAAUACGAAGGGUGCAAGCGUUACUCGGAAUUACUGGGCGUAAAGCGUGCGUAGGUGGUUGUUUAAGUCUGUUGUGAAAGCCCUGGGCUCAACCUGGGAAUUGCAGUGGAUACUGGGCGACUAGAGUGUGGUAGAGGGUAGUGGAAUUCCCGGUGUAGCAGUGAAAUGCGUAGAGAUCGGGAGGAACAUCCAUGGCGAAGGCAGCUACCUGGACCAACACUGACACUGAGGCACGAAAGCGUGGGGAGCCAACAGGAUUA